RNAcentral lists this ribosomal RNA (440 nucleotides) under uncultured bacterium. Its description in RNAcentral is "partial 16S ribosomal RNA". It matches the Rfam family "Bacterial small subunit ribosomal RNA", at positions 338 to 795 of the family's 1533-position model. The record is from RNAcentral.
CCUACGGGAGACAGCAGUGGGGAAUAUUGCACAAUGGGGGAAACCCUGAUGCAGCGACGCCGCGUGAGUGAAGAAGUAUUUCGGUACGUAAAGCUCUAUCAGCAGGGAAGAAAAUGAUGGUACCUGACUAAGAAGCCCCGGCUAACUACGUGCCAGCAGCCGCGGUAAUACGUAGGGGGCAAGCGUUAUCCGGAUUUACUGGGUGUAAAGGGAGCGUAGACGGCAGCGCAAGUCUGGAGGGAAAUCCCAUGGCUUAACCAUGGAACUGCUUUGGAAACUGUGCAGCUAGAGUGCAGGAGAGGUAAGCGGAAUUCCUAGUGUAGCGGUGAAAUGCGUAGAUAUUAGGAGGAACACCAGUGGCGAAGGCGGCUUACUGGACUGUAACUGACGUUGAGGCUCGAAAGCGUGGGGAGCAAACAGGAUUAGAUACCCUAGUAGUC